Molecule: ribosomal RNA, 496 nt
Filed under: uncultured bacterium
Lineage: Bacteria
Description: partial 16S ribosomal RNA
Rfam family: Bacterial small subunit ribosomal RNA
Source: RNAcentral
GAUGAACGCUGGCGGCGUGCCUAAUACAUGCAAGUCGAGCGAACAGACGAGGAGCUUGCUCCUCUGACGUUAGCGGCGGACGGGUGAGUAACACGUGGAUAACCUACCUAUAAGACUGGGAUAACUUCGGGAGACCGGAGCUAAUACCGGAUAAUAUAUUGAACCGCAUGGUUCAAUAGUGAAAGACGGUUUUGCUGUCACUUAUAGAUGGAUCCGCGCCGCAUUAGCUAGUUGGUAAGGUAACGGCUUACCAAGGCAACGAUGCGUAGCCGACCUGAGAGGGUGAUCGGCCACACUGGAACUGAGACACGGUCCAGACUCCUACGGGAGGCAGCAGUAGGGAAUCUUCCGCAAUGGGCGAAAGCCUGACGGAGCAACGCCGCGUGAGUGAUGAAGGUCUUCGGAUCGUAAAACUCUGUUAUUAGGGAAGAACAAAUGUGUAAGUAACUAUGCACGUCUUGACGGUACCUAAUCAGAAAGCCACGGCUAACUACGU